GGGGCCUCCCUACCCCCUCCGGCUUUUGCUCUUAGGGACCUGCCUUGGUCCCUGCCGGUUUCGACAACAAAAUACUACAGGCUGGUGGCCUGUAAACAACACAUCUAUUUCCCACAGUUCUGGAGGCUGGAAGUCCAAGGUCCAAGGCCCCCACAGAUUCGGGGUGAGGUUAGGGUCCACGUCCUGGUGGUCUUCUCACUGCGACCUCCAGGGAGCUCCCAGGGGUCCCUUUUGUAAGAACACUGAUGCCAUUUAUAAGGUCUCUAUCCCCAUGACCUAGUCGCCUCCAAAGACCCCACCUCCUAACCCCAGGGGUCAGGAUUUCAACAUGAAUUUGGGGGGACACAGACAUUCAGGCUAUGGCAGCCCCCACAGCCACACCCAUGGAAGGCUCAGUUCUUUGUAAAUGAGCUCCUCUGAGGGGUGGCUUCCUCUUUGGGGUCCUGUCUGAUGUUUGGGGCGGGGCUUCUCUGUCCUCGCUGUGAACUGACAAGACGAGGUACAGCAAGCAGGCGUUUUAACAACAAGCCUUGUGAGUGUAAUGCCCGGAUAACCGGAUCCACCCGUGGCCUUGGCGACGCCCACUUCUUGACACGGGGAAUGGGACCCAAAUGUGCACAGGACCAAGAGGAAAGCGCACGGUGACAGGUAACGGCCGCGGCAGUUCAGAGGACCGUGCCGCCCAGGUCUCUGAGCUGGGGACCCAGGGCGCUCCCAGAGUUGGCGGGCGUGGCCCUGCUCUGCGCUGAGGGGAAGAGCGAUGGAGGAGAGCUGACCUCCUGGUGGGAGGCCGGCCAAGCCCCCAAUUCAGGACUCGUCCCCUCUCCAAGAGCCCUAGCAACCUGUUUGCAUCACCUGAGGGCCGAGGAUGGACCGAGACCCGAGGAGCCAGAUGGAGGCGGGAGCUCGGAGGAGGGAGAGUGGGGGUUUAGCUGCUAUUACGUGUGGGAGCAAUCCAUCCCUGAAGAAGGCACCGAAAUUCUGUGGAAGGGGCAGACGCCCCGGAGGAAGAACGCCCUGUGAAGUGGUCCUAUGAUGAUCCCUUGAUCGCGGAAGAGGGAACUGAGAUCCAGUGCAUUUUUAGGUGACUUAGUCAACGUCACUGGCAGUCUGCGGAGCCAAGGUUGGAACCAGCUGUGUGGCUCCGGGCCCGCCUCCUCCCCUCUGGGUGUCAGCGUCUCCUGUAUGAAGUGAAGAUGUUGGCCUCAGUCGCCGCUGGAGGAGUGCUUCUCAGGCGGUGAUGUGCGGGAACCUCCCUCCCAGGCACCUUGUUAAAAUGCAGAUCCCAUGCAGGCGCUUGGGGUGGGGCCUGAGACCCGGCCUGUGCCGCUAGCUCCCAGGGGAAGGUGGUGCUGAUGCUGUGACCCUGACCGCACGGGCGCAGCCAGGCUCUGGGGACCCGCCCGCCUCUCUCGUUCUGAGUUUAUGGGCCUGGGAAGAUUCGCCCCAAAGGCCAGGAAAAUUCCGGAAGCGGGCUGUCUGAAUACAGCCAGCCCUUCGUGGUCUCUCCUGCCUGGACAAGCCCUGGUGCCUUUUGUGAAGCACCUGCCCCUGAGUCUUCACAUUUCCACUCCACUGACCUUGGCCUGACGCCCCGAGGGUUCAUGAGCUUGGUCCUGGGCUGAGGGGGCUCCCGGUCCCCUGGCAGCCACACUGCUAGUGCUGCAGAGCUGGUCACACAUACACUCCAGCCCCAUCUUCUGGGCACGUGUAGGGUGACACUUCUCUGCAUCUCUUGAAGUGAGAUGUGGCCACGUGCUCACUCUGGCCUCUGAAUUAAGAUGGGAAGUGUCACUUGCGGGCAGAAAUCUUUAAGAGCCGCUGUGUAAGUCAUUCCCCACAACUGAGAGUAUCGUUCACUCGUCCUGUGCAUUUACCAUGUGUCGUUGCCAUAACUGAAGACCUAAAAUGUAUGAACUUACCCAGUCUCAGUCACCCCGUGAGGUAGGCACUGUUCUGUACCCAUUUACAGUUGGUCUGUGGGCCCGGAUCCGUGAGCGGAACCUCCCCUGCCAGCAUGCAGGAUGUGUGGGACCGGGCGUCCAUGUUUCUGCAAACUCAUGGUCGUGGCCUGUCACAGAGCUAAUGCUCCCCGAGGAUGGGAACACCACCGCCCCCUGGUUUUUGCCAGCCUCUACUGAAAGGCUACAGGUAUGUCCCCAGUGCCUCACCCCAAGCCUGGCUCACAGAACACCUCACUCGCACCUGUGUCCGGGUUUGCACAGCUAUUACUGGCAGGUUGGUUACGGCCACUAGUUUCCUGGGUGUCAGCCAGUCUUCUUCGGAUGUCCUUGCCCCUCGGCCCAGUGUCCUCAAGGACAAGGGUCAUUCCCGGGUGGCCCCUUUGCUCCUACGACAUGGACGCCCAGAUGCCAGCAUGACAUGGGAAAAAGGAAAAUUCCACAGGCCUCAGCCUGAAUCUACAGCCCACAAGUCCGGUCUCUGCCAGACCCAAGCUGAGAUCAAAUGUCUUCAAGCCCAGACUCAGCCCCAUCGGAGAGGGGGCAUUGGGCACUCUCAAGACCAAAGGGAUCCCUGGUGAAUCAGGAAAGUUAUUGGGCUGGAAAGCGAUUAGAGAGCAGAGCGUGGGAGGGAAUUUCCACUGGGAACGCCAGGCCCAUGAGCAAGCCUAGGCCGGUCGGCGGCAGAGUGCCGCUCCGCUGAGGUCUGUUGCAAUGGUGCCCGUAAAACCCCGAUCCUGAGACGUGAAGCCUUGAUCCGUUUCUUCUUCUGCUUCCCUUGAGAGAAACAGAGAUCCCAGGAAACCCCACAGCCCUGGAACAGAGGGCCCCACAUCAAAGGCCAAGGGUCAGGGGGACCCCGCUGAGGGAGAGGUCAGCUGCAGGGGUCCCCCAUGGAGAGGAGGGCAGGGGGGGACCGUGGACUGGAGGGUACGGGCAGAAGCCCAGAAGGGAGGGGGAGCUGGGCUGGAAGCGGGCCUGGUUUCUGACCUGGCCAGGUGAGGAGGGGCCACCUGACUGCAUGGACCUGGGAACGUGGGUCAGGCUCCUCUUGUCACACCCAAAGGGGGGCCCACGAUAUGGCUGUUCCUUAGCCCCUACACCAGCCAGGCUUUCUCGCAAAUAUAAGACAGGCCAGGGAGGUUUCAUUUUAAGGACAAGGGUACUGAGGUCAGAGACAGGGAGGGACCUGUUUAAGGUGUCACAGGGCUGGGGAUGUAAGACCAGCGCCCUCACCUUCCUCUGCACCAGCUGGUGGGCUCCCUGAAAACCCAGGUCGCUGGGCCCCGAGCCCAGUUUCUGACUUGGCAGGGCUGGGGUGGAGCUUAGAAUGUGCUUUUCUAACACAGCCCCGGGGCGCUGCUGCCGGGGGCCCACUUUGAGACCCUUGCUACUUAAAGUGUGUUCCAUGUUCUAAUAGUACCAGUGUUUCACGGAAGCUUCUAGAAAUGCAGAAUCUCAGGCUCCACCCCAGACCUCCUGAAUCAGAAACUGCAUUUACAAGCUCCCCAGGCUACCUGUCUGCACGGUUCAGUCUGAGAAGCACUGGUGCACCGCACACACCGCCUCCCCACUGGGAGUCAGACCCAGGUUGCCUGGACGUGAGGCGACAGGCAGUGGGGUCAGAGAGUAAGACAGGCCUCGUAGGUGGGCAGGCCUUGUAGGGCUGAGGGCAGCAUCACUGACGGGCUUUACUCAGGGAGAGAUGAGAAGGCUCUGGUGGAUUGCAAGCAAAAGAGUGACAUCAUCUUUCUGCCAUUUAAAAAGUUUUGCCGUUCUAUUUUGUAAGUCAGGCUCUCCUCAAUGCUUUUUCUACAGAUGGCGUCUAACAACGAAUGACCACUAAACAGAAUUUGCAGUGGGAUGUAUCAUAAGCUGCAUGACUUGUGCCUCUCCCCCUUACGCCCACCUUCCUUUCCAGCCCCUGGUGUGGGCCCACGCUCCCUGCUGCACACGCGGGACGGCUCAGACCUAGCUAGACAUGUCCAGUGCACGGCUCCCCCUGGCUCUCCAAGGUGUCUUGAUCCUUCUAAAGGCCCGAGUAAGAAAUCCACCGGGGCCCGAGCCUCUCCCAGGUGGGGCUGCCCAGCAAGACGCCAGUCCUGGGGAAUGAUUUAGAAAUGAGUCAGCCGCCCUAGUCCCCGGAGGUCAUGAGAAUGGAGUGCAGGACUCCCAGGUUCCAAGGACCUCCCUCCACAGCCGCUGGGGACAUGUGCUGUCGGUGCUUAGGUGUGCGUGGUGUCACCCACAGAAGCUGAGCGGCCUCAGCCACUCCACGCUCCUGUCCCAGCGUUGCCAUUUACAAAGCUGCGUGACCCCUUCCAGGUGGCUUGACCUCUCUGAGGCUCAUUUUUCUCCUCAGUAAGAUAAUAAUGCCUAUCCAUCAGGGGACUCAGACAGCUGCGAGCGGGCUCUGUGACCUUUCAAAGUCCGCGUGACCUUUCAAAGCCCGCAUGACCGCGAAUGAACCUGGAGCUGGAGGGAACAUCAAGAGUCCCCGGCCAGGGGGAGGGCAGCAGGAAGGGACAGAGAUGGGCCAGCAGGAGCACAGCCUGGCUUAGGGCCCUGGCCCCUCGGUGACAGAGCUCUGGGUGGUAGCGGGACUGUGCCCUGAGGCUGGGGCACUCAGGAGGCCGCAUGGAGGGAUGGGGCAGGUGUGCAGCUAGAGAGAGGAGCCACAAAGGGCAACGCUGGGGGUCCCUAAGUUGGGGCUUGGGCACUGCCGCCCUCUGGGCCUCAAGGGACACCUGUCUUGGCUGCCUGCUCUCUCUCCCAGAGGGGGUUAGGGAGUCAGCUGUCCCUUGUAUGUGGGGGAUGUUCCCGCAGCUCGCGGGCUGAAGAACUGUGGAUGGGACACUGACAGGUGUCCCUACACCUCCUGGGUUGGGUGCUGCAGGGGAGGGCACCCCGCCACACUGGGCAGGAAGGCGGGAGCGCUGGGGGUGGGCACAAAGAGGCUUUCCUGCUGCCAUUAUCACAUUAGUCCCAUAAUCAUCUGCUAUUAACACGUCAGCGACCAGAGACCCCUUAAGACAGAGAGGGCCUGGAGGACCAGGCCUGGUGGGCCUGGUGGGCACAGUCGCCAUCUUGCAGCGCCCGGCCUGGGUCCCCAUCGUCCUCUAGAGGCAGUAGGGGUGGGGGGAGGGCAGGAACCAUGUUUGUCGAGGCUCUGAGUGGCCAAGCCCUGCCUCUCUGGCCUUCCACAAACAGUGUCUAACUUACCCAUCAGGAGCCAUGAGAUAAGAAUAAAGUCAUCCUCCCGUAUGACGGAUGAGGAGACUUCAGGACAGUGAAGCUGCCCACAGUGGGCAGGACACAGCGGUCGGGGUGGGGGCCGGGGAGAGCGGAGGUCUGAACCCAACUCGGCAAAGCUCACGUCUUCACACAACACUCUUUCCGAGAAGAGGGGGGAAGGCCUCCGCCGCUUCGUCCACGUUCCUGCAACUCAGUCCAGGAAAACGUCCGUUCUCUCAGGAGGGGGAGCAUCACGCCUGGGGACACUCCACCAGGCCUGGGGCCACAUCGGCUGAGCCAUGGGCCCUCCUAGUGCGUGUGGUGGAGCGGACUGCAGGCAGUGACAUCUCUAGGACAUGAUGGGGACCCUUCUCCACCAAGUGGCCUCCAGGUUCCUCUCCUCUGUUCACAUUGGCUGCUUCUGCGUGUCCUCCUCUAGCUGGGGAUGUGGGUGGGAGAAGGGGUAAGCCCAUCGGGCCAGCAGGCAGCGGUGGGCAGCCUCCCCAGGGCCCUUACGGAGAAAUCUGCCCCUAGGGGAGGAACCCAACGUCGGCUGCGUUCCCACUGCCCCCACUCCAACCCCAGGAUGUUCCCCAUUUUCCUGACUGCACAGCGCCAGGGGGGAGCUGGCCGAGCUAGGUCAGGGGGCAGAGGCUGGGGGGCCAGGCCCCCCGCGGUCCGGAAGCAUCCAGCAGCUGCCUGGCGCCCACCAUGCAAGUCCCAACCGGUGCCACUGCGAGACCGAGGCCGCGGCACCGGCCCACGCCCGUCCCGGGCAGCCACCCCCUCCUCCUGUUCCACCACCUCCCGCAGCGGCCAAGGCCUGGAGCAGUGAGGUUCCGAGAAGCGGCGGACGGAGGCCCGAAGGCCGGCGCCGCUGGGUAAGCGGUGCCCUCCCGGCACCAGCCCUCCCGCCGGCGCCCCCGGCCGGCUCCGCCUCCGGGGCUCUGCCUGGGCGGGCGCGCGGCGCGGGGGGGCGGGCUGGCGGGGCAGGAAUGCGCCGCGCGGGAGGCGGCGGCGGGACAUGUAAGGGCAAGUCCUCGGCGCUGCCGCCCAGCGCGCAGACCGAGCCCAGCGGAGCCGGCGAGCGAGCGGCGCGCAGG
Hipposideros armiger (great roundleaf bat) is the source of this 6298-nucleotide long non-coding RNA. RefSeq lists it as uncharacterized. NCBI's taxonomy places the organism in Eukaryota, Metazoa, Chordata, Mammalia, Chiroptera, Hipposideridae. The transcript is spliced from 4 exons. The record is from RefSeq and is a predicted model, not a curated record.